AUGGCUCAGAUUGAACGCUGGCGGCAGGCUUAACACAUGCAAGUCGAGCGGUAGCAC
RNAcentral lists this ribosomal RNA (57 nucleotides) under Serratia sp. CC22-02. RNAcentral describes it as "16S rRNA. Bacterial SSU". The record is from RNAcentral. Lineage: Bacteria; Pseudomonadati; Pseudomonadota; Gammaproteobacteria; Enterobacterales; Yersiniaceae.